UCCGGGGUAGGAGAAUGGUAAACCCAGCGGACUGUUAAUCCGCCGCGCAAGCAACUGCUGGUUCAAGUCCAGCCCCCGGAGCCA
RNAcentral lists this transfer RNA (84 nucleotides) under Nitrosomonadaceae bacterium. RNAcentral's name for it is "tRNA-Asn". It matches the Rfam family "tRNA". Rfam says of the family: Transfer RNA (tRNA) molecules are approximately 80 nucleotides in length. The record is from RNAcentral. Lineage: Bacteria; Pseudomonadati; Pseudomonadota; Betaproteobacteria; Nitrosomonadales; Nitrosomonadaceae.